GACGAAGGAUGCAAGCGUUAUCCGGAUUCAUUGGGUUUAAAGGGUGCGUAGGCGGACUUGUAAGUCAGUGGUGAAAUCUCUUUGCUUAACAAAGAAACUGCCAUUGAUACUGCUAGUCUAGAGUAUAGAUGACGUUGGCGGAAUAUGACAUGUAGUGGUGAAAUACUUAGAUAUGUCAUGGAACACCGAUUGCGAAGGCAGCUAACGAAACUAUAACUGACGCUGAGGCACGAAAGUGCGGGGAGCAAACAGG
RNAcentral lists this ribosomal RNA (253 nucleotides) under uncultured bacterium. RNAcentral's name for it is "partial 16S ribosomal RNA". It matches the Rfam family "Bacterial small subunit ribosomal RNA", at positions 524 to 776 of the family's 1533-position model. The record is from RNAcentral.